GAAAGUUUGCUCUUUUAGUAUUUGUCUAGAAUGGUCUUAAAAUGAUUUAAAGUCUCCA
Molecule: small nuclear RNA, 58 nt
Organism: Electrophorus electricus (electric eel)
Lineage: Eukaryota; Metazoa; Chordata; Actinopteri; Gymnotiformes; Gymnotidae
Gene: U7
Rfam family: U7 small nuclear RNA
About the family: Animal histone pre-mRNAs are spliced by a different mechanism than nuclear pre-mRNAs and self-splicing introns.
Source: Ensembl